RNAcentral lists this ribosomal RNA (468 nucleotides) under uncultured bacterium. RNAcentral describes it as "partial 16S ribosomal RNA". It matches the Rfam family "Bacterial small subunit ribosomal RNA", at positions 28 to 507 of the family's 1533-position model. The record is from RNAcentral.
GACGAACGCUGGCGGCGUGCUUAACACAUGCAAGUCGAACGGAAAGGCCCUGCUUUUGUGGGGUGCUCGAGUGGCGAACGGGUGAGUAACACGUGAGUAACCUGCCCUUGACCUUGGGAUAACUUCAGGAAACUGGGGCUAAUACCGGAUAGGAGCUCCUGCUGCAUGGUGGGGGUUGGAAAGUUUCGGCGGUUGGGGAUGGACUCGCGGCUUAUCAGCUUGUUGGUGGGGUAGUGGCUUACCAAGGCUUUGACGGGUAGCCGGCCUGAGAGGGUGACCGGCCACAUUGGGACUGAGAUACGGCCCAGACUCCUACGGGAGGCAGCAGUGGGGAAUAUUGCACAAUGGGCGGAAGCCUGAUGCAGCAACGCCGCGUGCGGGAUGAAGGCCUUUGGGUUGUAAACCGCUUUCGCCUGUGACGAAGCGUGAGUGACGGUAAUGGGUAAAGAAGCACCGGCUAACUACGUG